CAACUUUCAGCAAUGGAUCUCUUGGCUCUCGCAUCGAUGAAGAACGCAGCGAAUUGCGAUAUGUAAUGUGAAUUGCAGAUUUUCCGUGAAUCAUCGAAUUUUUGAACGCACCUUGCGCUCCUUGGUAUUCCGAGGAGUAUGCCUGUUUGAGUGUCAUUA
RNAcentral lists this ribosomal RNA (159 nucleotides) under Tapinella panuoides. RNAcentral's name for it is "5.8S ribosomal RNA". It matches the Rfam family "5.8S ribosomal RNA". From Rfam's summary of the family: 5.8S ribosomal RNA (5.8S rRNA) is a component of the large subunit of the eukaryotic ribosome. It is transcribed by RNA polymerase I as part of the 45S precursor that also contains 18S and 28S rRNA. The record is from RNAcentral. Lineage: Eukaryota; Fungi; Basidiomycota; Agaricomycetes; Boletales; Tapinellaceae.